RNAcentral lists this ribosomal RNA (460 nucleotides) under uncultured bacterium. Its description in RNAcentral is "partial 16S ribosomal RNA". It matches the Rfam family "Bacterial small subunit ribosomal RNA", at positions 338 to 795 of the family's 1533-position model. The record is from RNAcentral.
CCUACGGGUGGCAGCAGUGAGGAAUAUUGGUCAAUGGGCGGGAGCCUGAACCAGCCAAGUCGCGUGAGGGAAGACGGUCCUACGGAUUGUAAACCUCUUUUGCCGGGGAGCAACGGGGUCCUUGCGAGGGCCCGAUGAGAGUACCCGGAGAAAAAGCAUCGGCUAACUCCGUGCCAGCAGCCGCGGUAAUACGGAGGAUGCGAGCGUUAUCCGGAUUUAUUGGGUUUAAAGGGUGCGUAGGCGGACGCUUAAGUCAGCGGUAAAAUUGCGGGGCUCAACCUCGUCGAGCCGUUGAAACUGGGUGCCUUGAGUGGGCGAGAAGUACGCGGAAUGCGUGGUGUAGCGGUGAAAUGCAUAGAUAUCACGCAGAACUCCGAUUGCGAAGGCAGCGUACCGGCGCCCAACUGACGCUGAAGCACGAAGGCGUGGGUAUCGAACAGGAUUAGAUACCCGUGUAGUC